AGGACCGCACCUGCCUCACCUGCUCCGGGAAGGCUCGGCCCCUAUCACGUGACUGCCCAAUCAGCACUUCCCCUUAGGAAGUGGUUGUGGCGCCAUUCCACCAGGCGCGCAUUCAAUCGCAGUUAUAACUUUUAUUCAUUCAUUCAUUCCUGCAAUAUUUUCAAAAGUUUCGGUUGGGACUUGAGCCCUUGCCAGGACAGAAGGAACAUCAGAGGCCAAAGAUAGCAUUCUUUGAGGCAGGACGUUCCAGAUGACUAAAGUCUAUGAAUGUUUAUAUGUGUUUCUGUGAAAAUAAAAAGAAUCUGAAGUUCAAAAAGUGAUAGAUUGGUGAUAGAUUGGCAGGGUGAGGACAGAGAGGCUCCUGGGGUGUCCGAAAUGUGCUAUAUAUUUAUCUGGGUGGUGAUUACUUGGGCAUACACAUAUUUAAAAAUUCACUGAGUUGUACACAUAAGACGUGCAGUUUACUGUAUGGAAAUGAUUAUAUCUCCCUUUCAAAAGAAAAUAGUAAGAAGAAAAAAGAACUGAGAUUAGAAAAAUAGGCUGGGGCCAGAUGAUGAACGGUUUGGGCAUAUAAGAGAAGGGAAUCUAUCUCCCAAGGGUGGCUGGGAGCCACGGCAAUUGAAGAUUAUAGGUAUCUUAAUCCAUCAGCCUGACAACACCAGGAAUAUAGUCUGACAAAUUAAAGUUUAUUGACCCACUGAGAUGAUGGAGACCACACAACAGAGAAACCAUGGAGCAUCUUGACAAAGGAAAAGGAUCACUCACUUUAGAGGAAGCAGCUGCCACAUUGUGAGGACACUCAAGCAGUCAUCCACUGGAGAAACACACAUGUCGAGGAACCAAGUCCUCCAGCCCCAGUCAAGCCUUCAGGUGACAGCUGUCCCCACCAACAUCCUGACUGCAACCUCGUGAGAGAUCCUAAGCCAGAACCCCACAGCUUAGCCAUUCAUUGAUUUCCAACCCUCAGAAAUUGUGUGAGACAAUAAACGUUUAUUGUUGCUUUAAA
This is a long non-coding RNA of Orcinus orca (killer whale), 1006 nucleotides long. RefSeq lists it as uncharacterized. Lineage: Eukaryota; Metazoa; Chordata; Mammalia; Artiodactyla; Delphinidae. The record is from RefSeq and is a predicted model, not a curated record. The transcript is spliced from 2 exons.